GACGAACGCUGGCGGCGUGCUUAACACAUGCAAGUCGAACGGUGAAGCGCCUUCCUUUUUGGUGGGUGUGGAUGAGUGGCGAACGGGUGAGUAACACGUGAGUAACCUGCCCCCUUCUUCUGGAUAACCGCAUGAAAGUGUGGCUAAUACGGGAUAUUCUGGGUCUGUCGCAUGAUGGGUCUGGGAAAGAUAUUGUUUCGGUGGGGGAUGGGCUCGCGGCCUAUCAGCUUGUUGGUGGGGUGAUGGCCUACCAAGGCGGUGACGGGUAGCCGGCCUGAGAGGGUGGACGGUCACACUGGGACUGAGACACGGCCAGACUCCUACGGGAGGCAGCAGUGGGGAAUAUUGCACAAUGGGCGCAAGCCUGAUGCAGCGACGCCGCGUGAGGGAUGGAGGCCUUCGGGGUGUGAACCUCUUUCGCCAGUGAAGCAGGCCUGCCUCGUUUGUGGGUGGGUUGACGGUAGCUGGAUAAGAAGCGCCGGCUAACUACGUG
This 493-nucleotide ribosomal RNA is filed under the name uncultured bacterium. RNAcentral describes it as "partial 16S ribosomal RNA". It matches the Rfam family "Bacterial small subunit ribosomal RNA", at positions 28 to 507 of the family's 1533-position model. The record is from RNAcentral.